RNAcentral lists this ribosomal RNA (454 nucleotides) under uncultured Lachnospiraceae bacterium. RNAcentral describes it as "partial 16S ribosomal RNA". Lineage: Bacteria; Bacillati; Bacillota; Clostridia; Lachnospirales; Lachnospiraceae. The record is from RNAcentral.
CACGUAGUUAGCCGGGGCUUCUUAGUCAGGUACUGUCACUUUCUUCCCUGCUGAUAGAGCUUUACAUACCGAGAUACUUCAUCGCUCACGCGGCGUCGCUGCAUCAGGGUUUCCCCCAUUGUGCAAUAUUCCCCACUGCUGCCUCCCGCAGGAGUCUGGGCCUGUCUCAGUCCCAAUGUGGCCGGCCGCCCUCUCAGGCCCGGCUACUGAUCGUCGCCUUGGUCGGGCCGUUACCCCGCCAACGAGCUAAUCAGACGCGGGCCCAUCCCAUACCACCGGAGUUUUCCCCAGGAAGCUAUGCAGCCUCCUGGGCGUAUGCGGUAUUAGCAGCCGUUCGGCUGUAUCCCCGGUAUGGGCAGGUUGCCCACGCGUUACUCCACCCGUCCGCCACUCAGACACGUUACCGUUCCCUACCCCGAACGGGAACUCCCUGUAACCCGUCUUCGUUUCCGAC